GCCACGUGGCCAAUGUAUGGUGAGCAACAAUUUAAUGCCUUUGAAAUGGUGAUUGAGUUGGGGUUAGCUGUGGAAAUUAAAAUGGAUUAUAGUAAGGAAAGUGGAAUGAUAGUGAAUUGUGAUGAAAUAGAGAGAGGAAUAAGGUGUUUGAUAGAGCAUGAUAAUGAGAAAAGGAAGAAAGUGAAGGAGAUGAGUGAGAGGAGUAGAAUAGCCUUAAUGAAUGGUUGAUCUUCAUACCGUUAGUUAAGUAAUUUAAUAAAAGAUGUGAUGGGCAAUUUAGCAUAAAAUAAUUGUAAUAAAGUACUUAUUUUAUAUCUAUGGUUAGUUCAUUUCAUAAUCCUAUGUAUAAGUAACUCUCAUACUAUAGGAUCCUUGGAUUCUAUAGCCAAUGAUACAAAACUCCUGGAAUUGAACGGCAACUUCGCUGUCGCUAGUAUUGAAUUUAUUGUGUAGUGGGGCUCCAAAAACAGCUUUUUUG
RNAcentral lists this unclassified non-coding RNA (478 nucleotides) under Hevea brasiliensis (rubber tree). Lineage: Eukaryota; Viridiplantae; Streptophyta; Magnoliopsida; Malpighiales; Euphorbiaceae. The record is from RNAcentral.